This 30-nucleotide non-coding RNA is filed under the name Homo sapiens (human). Lineage: Eukaryota; Metazoa; Chordata; Mammalia; Primates; Hominidae. The record is from RNAcentral.
UCUGAGUUCCCGUGUGCUAGACUGGCCAGA